AGAGUUUGAUCCUGGCUCAGGAUGAACGCUGGCGGCAGGCCUAAUACAUGCAAGUCGUACGGUAAGACACCCUUCGGGGUGUUGAGAGUGGCGGACGGGUGCGUAACGCGUAUGCAACCAACCCCCGACGGGCGGACAGCCGGUGGAAACGCCGGAUAAUACGCCAUGCGGCUGUCCAGGGGCAUCCCUGGGCGGUCAAAGCCUUGGCGGUCGGGGACGGGCAUGCGUGCCAUUAGAUGGUCGGCGGGGUGACGGCCCACCGAGUCGACGAUGGCUAGGGGAUCUGAGAGGACGGUCCCCCCACACUGGUACUGAGACACGGACCAGACUCCUGCGGGAGGCAGCAGUAAGGGAUAUUGGUCAAUGGGCGCGAGCCUGAACCAGCCAAGUAGCGUGCAGGAUGGGGACGGCCCUAUGGGUUGUAAACUGCUUUUAUACAGGGAUAAAGUGGCCCACGUGUGGGUUAUUGCAGGUACUGUAUGAAUAAGGACCGGCUAAUUCCGUGCC
RNAcentral lists this ribosomal RNA (507 nucleotides) under uncultured organism. RNAcentral's name for it is "SSU rRNA". It matches the Rfam family "Bacterial small subunit ribosomal RNA", at positions 8 to 509 of the family's 1533-position model. The record is from RNAcentral.